CCACAAAGUGAUGAGCUUAAGUGCCAAUUCUUGGAAGACCUUGCUGCGAGGCGUGCUUCUUGCCCGGGUCCAUGGAUGGUGUUGGGGGACUUUAACCUAAUUCUUCGAGCUUCGGAGAAUAAUAAUAAUAAUCUUAACAGGGCUAUGAUGAAUGCUUUCCAGCAGUUCGUCGACGAUCAUGAGCUCAAGGAGAUGUACAUGCACGGACAGAAGUUCACGUGGUCCAACGAGCGUGAGGUGCCUACCCUUACCAAGAUUGAUAGAGUCCUGAUCUCGGUGGACUGGGAGAUAGAGUACCCGGAUUAUUUGCUGUAG
Molecule: ribosomal RNA, 315 nt
Filed under: Triticum aestivum (bread wheat)
Lineage: Eukaryota; Viridiplantae; Streptophyta; Magnoliopsida; Poales; Poaceae
Description: partial small subunit ribosomal RNA
Source: RNAcentral